Molecule: ribosomal RNA, 497 nt
Filed under: uncultured bacterium
Lineage: Bacteria
Description: partial 16S ribosomal RNA
Rfam family: Bacterial small subunit ribosomal RNA
Source: RNAcentral
GAUGAACGCUGGCGGCGUGCCUAAUACAUGCAAGUCGAGCGAACAGACGAGGAGCUUGCACCUCUGACGUUAGCGGCGGACGGGUGAGUAACACGUGGAUAACCCACCUAUAAGACUGGGAUAACUUCGGGAAACCGGAGCUAAUACCGGAUAAUAUAUUGAACCGCAUGGUUCAAUAGUGAAAGACGGUUUUGCUGUCACUUAUAGAUGGAUCCGCGCCGCAUUAGCUAGUUGGUAAGGUAACGGCUUACCAAGGCAACGAUGCGUAGCCGACCUGAGAGGGUGAUCGGCCACACUGGAACUGAGACACGGUCCAGACUCCUACGGGAGGCAGCAGUAGGGAAUCUUCCGCAAUGGGCGAAAGCCUGACGGAGCAACGCCGCGUGAGUGAUGAAGGUCUUCGGAUCGUAAAACUCUGUUAUUAGGGAAGAACAAAUGUGUAAGUAACUAUGCACGUCUUGACGGUACCUAAUCAGAAAGCCACAGCUAACUACGUG